This is a non-coding RNA of Clostridia bacterium BRH_c25, 78 nucleotides long. The record is from Rfam. Lineage: Bacteria; Bacillati; Bacillota; Clostridia.
AUAAUGAUACUUGCGCAUAGUCGAGGUUAAGUCCCAGAGUGUGCCCUGGCCGUUGGCGAGGAGAUGUAAUUUCUAUGA